GACGAACGCUGGCGGCGUGCUUAACACAUGCAAGUCGAACGGUGAAGCUCCAGCUUGCUGGAGUGGAUCAGUGGCGAACGGGUGAGUAACACGUGAGCAACCUGCCCCUGACUCUGGAAUAAGCGCUGGAAACGGCGUCUAAUACUGGAUACGAGAAGGGUCCGCAUGGGCACUUUCUGGAAAGUUUUUCGGUUGGGGAUGGGCUCGCGGCCUAUCAGCCUGUUGGUGAGGUAAUGGCUCACCAAGGCGACGACGGGUAGCCGGCCUGAGAGGGCGACCGGCCACACUGGGACUGAGACACGGCCCAGACUCCUACGGGAGGCAGCAGUGGGGAAUAUUGCACAAUGGGCGAAAGCCUGAUGCAGCGACGCCGCGUGAGGGAUGACGGCCUUCGGGUUGUAAACCUCUUUCAGCAGGGAAGAAGCGAAAGUGACGGUACCUGCAGAAGAAGCACCGGCUAACUACGUG
Molecule: ribosomal RNA, 468 nt
Filed under: uncultured bacterium
Lineage: Bacteria
Description: partial 16S ribosomal RNA
Rfam family: Bacterial small subunit ribosomal RNA
Source: RNAcentral